AUGAUGAACGGUUCUCUCCGCAAGGUGCACGGAACAUCAAGAGAAUCUUGUCCAGACAAUCCAGGACGAGAGCAGAAGAGUUAUGCCCGGAUUGUCUUCACCAUCAUUGCUUUCUACUUCAUGCCCUGCUGCCCCUUCACAGCCUCCUCCUUCUAUCUGCUGAGUGGACUUCUGGACGCUUUUGAUGGACAUGCUCAAUCAAGGAACCCGGUUUGGAGCCACGUUGGACAUGCUGACAUGUGUCUGUUGGUCAACCUGGCCCUGCUGUACCCUUGAGCUACCCUUCUCUUCCAGAUCAGCAUGAGCUUGGAUGUGGCCAGUCACUGGCUGCACCUCCACAGUUUUGUGGUCCGGGGUAGUGAGAGUCACAAGAUGAUUGACCUCUCUGGGAAUCCAGUGCUUUGGAUUUACUACACCGCCAGGCCUGCUCUGUUCACCCUGUGUGCUAGAAAUGAGCUCUUCUGCUGCCUCCUCUACCUGUUCAAUUUCUCUGAAGGACCGUUAGUUGGCUCUGUGGGGCUUUUCCGAAUGGGUCUCUGGGUCACUGCCCCCAUCGCUUUGCUCAAGUCCCUCAUCAGUGUCAUCCACCUGAUCACAGCUGCCCGCAACAUGGCUGCCCUGGAUGCGGCAGACUGUGCCAAGAAGAAGUGACCCU
This is a non-coding RNA of Marmota flaviventris (yellow-bellied marmot), 655 nucleotides long. The record is from RefSeq and is a predicted model, not a curated record. NCBI's taxonomy places the organism in Eukaryota, Metazoa, Chordata, Mammalia, Rodentia, Sciuridae.